RNAcentral lists this ribosomal RNA (438 nucleotides) under Bacillus cytotoxicus. RNAcentral describes it as "bacterial SSU rRNA". It matches the Rfam family "Bacterial small subunit ribosomal RNA", at positions 88 to 511 of the family's 1533-position model. Lineage: Bacteria; Bacillati; Bacillota; Bacilli; Caryophanales; Bacillaceae. The record is from RNAcentral.
GAAGUUAGCGGCGGACGGGUGAGUAACACGUGGGUAACCUGCCUAUAAGACUGGGAUAACUCCGGGAAACCGGGGCUAAUACCGGAUAACAUUUUGCACCGCAUGGUGCGAAAUUGAAAGGCGGCUUCGGCUGUCACUUAUAGAUGGACCUGCGGCGCAUUAGCUAGUUGGUGAGGUAACGGCUCACCAAGGCGACGAUGCGUAGCCGACCUGAGAGGGUGAUCGGCCACACUGGGACUGAGACACGGCCCAGACUCCUACGGGAGGCAGCAGUAGGGAAUCUUCCGCAAUGGACGAAAGUCUGACGGAGCAACGCCGCGUGAGCGAUGAAGGCCUUCGGGUCGUAAAGCUCUGUUGUUAGGGAAGAACAAGUGUGAGUUGAAUAAGCUCAUGCCUUGACGGUACCUAACCAGAAAGCCACGGCUAACUACGUGCCAG